Molecule: long non-coding RNA, 283 nt
Filed under: Elaeis guineensis (African oil palm)
Lineage: Eukaryota; Viridiplantae; Streptophyta; Magnoliopsida; Arecales; Arecaceae
Description: long non-coding RNA (EGUI_LNC004489)
Source: RNAcentral
AUUUGGUGCAAGUUCAUAUCUCGACCCACAUCCUGACUCACUCUUUAUUCAUCGAACCGCAGCCCUGUUUUUCGUUUUUCGUUGUAAACAGCAGUAACGACUGUUGGGUCAUGGGAACUUUAGGUCACAGACAUCCGCUCCUUUUCUUUUUUAAGUCACGGGCGCCAAGUAAAUCACGGGUGCCUGCAACAUGCAAGCGUAAGCGCACAUCAGAAUAUCAGCGCACAUCCAUGGAUGAGUGCUGGUUGGACAUGAGCGAGUGUCGAUCACAUCCUUAGAGAUG